Molecule: ribosomal RNA, 434 nt
Filed under: uncultured Streptococcus sp.
Lineage: Bacteria; Bacillati; Bacillota; Bacilli; Lactobacillales; Streptococcaceae
Description: bacterial SSU rRNA
Rfam family: Bacterial small subunit ribosomal RNA
Source: RNAcentral
AACGCGAAGAACCUUACCUGGUCUUGACAUCCACGGAAGUUUUCAGAGAUGAGAAUGUGCCUUCGGGAACCGUGAGACAGGUGCUGCAUGGCUGUCGUCAGCUCGUGUCGUGAGAUGUUGGGUUAAGUCCCGCAACGAGCGCAACCCUUAUUGUUAGUUGCCAUCAUUCAGUUGGGCACUCUAGAGAGACUGCCGGUAAUAAACCGGAGGAAGGUGGGGAUGACGUCAAGUCAUCAUGCCCCUUAUGUCCAGGGCUUCACGCAUGCUACAAUGGCUGGUACAGAGAGUGGCGAGCCUGUGAGGGUGAGCGAAUCUCUGAAAGCCGGUCUCAGUUCGGAUUGGGGUCUGCAACUCGACCUCAUGAAGUCGGAAUCGCUAGUAAUCGCGGAUCAGCACGCCGCGGUGAAUACGUUCCCGGGUCUUGUACACACCGA